GCAUGUUGGAUGAGCAAAAUUGGUGUUAUUGGUUAAAGACUGGUUUGUCCCCUACCACAGGCAUGUUGGAUGAGCAAAAAUUGUGUUAUUGGUUAGAGACUGGUAUGUCCCCUACCAUUGGCAUGUUGGAUGAGCAAAAAUGGUGUUAUUGGUUAGAGACUGGUAUGUCCCCUACCAAAAACAUGUUGGAUGAGCAAAAAUGUUGUUAUUGGUUAAAGACUGGUAUGUCCCCUACCAUUGGCAUGUUGGAUGAGUAAAACUGUUGUUAUUGGUAAGAGACUGGUAUGUCCCCUACCAUUGCCAUGUUGGAUAAGCAAAAAUGGUGUUAUUGGUUAGAGACUGGUAUGUCC
RNAcentral lists this long non-coding RNA (350 nucleotides) under Mytilus galloprovincialis (Mediterranean mussel). Lineage: Eukaryota; Metazoa; Mollusca; Bivalvia; Mytilida; Mytilidae. The record is from RNAcentral.